CGCUAUCACUCCUACGGGAGGCAGCAAGUAGGGAAUCUUCCACAAUGGGCGCAAGCCUGAUGGAGCAACACCGCGUGAGUGAAGAAGGUUUCGGCUACGUAAAGCUCUGUUGUUAAAGAAGAACACGUAUGAGAGUAACUGUUCAUACGUUGACGGUAUUUAACCAGAAAGUCACGGCUAACUACGUGCCAGCAGCCGCGGUAAUACGUAGGUGGCAAGCGUUAUCCGGAUUUAUUGGGCGUAAAGAGAGUGCAGGCGGUUUUCUAAGUCUGAUGUGAAAGCCUUCGGCUUAACCGGAGAAGUGCAUCGGAAACUGGAUAACUUGAGUGCAGAAGAGGGUAGUGGAACUCCAUGUGUAGCGGUGGAAUGCGUAGAUAUAUGGAAGAACACCAGUGGCGAAGGCGGCUACCUGGUCUGCAACUGACGCUGAGACUCGAAAGCAUGGGUAGCGAACAGGAUUAGAUACCCUGGUAG
Molecule: ribosomal RNA, 474 nt
Filed under: uncultured bacterium
Lineage: Bacteria
Description: bacterial SSU rRNA
Rfam family: Bacterial small subunit ribosomal RNA
Source: RNAcentral